CAGUCGAGGGGUAACAGGGAGUGCUUGCACUCCGCUGACGACCGGCGCACGGGUGCGUAACGCGUAUGCAACCUACCUUUUACAGGGGGAUAGUCAAGAGAAAUUUUGAAUAAUACCCCAUACGAUCUUAAUUACACCUGUACUAAAGAGGAAAACUUCGGUGGUAAAAGAUGGGCACGCGUCCUAUUAGUUAGAUGGUGAGGUAACGGCUCACCAUGACUACGAUAGGUAGGGGUCCUGAGAGGGAGAUCCCCCACACUGGUACUGAGACACGGACCAGACUCUUACGGGAGGCAGCAGUGAGGAAUAUUGGACAAUGGAGGCAACUCUGAUCCAGCCAUGCCGCGUGCAGGAAGACUGCCCUAUGGGUUGUAAACUGCUUUUAUACAGGAAGAAACACUCCCUCGUGAGGGAGCUUGACGGUACUGUACGAAUAAGGAUCGGCUAACUCCGUGCCAGCAGCCGCGGUAAUACGGAGGAUCCAAGCGUUAUCCGGAAUCAUUGGGUUUAAAGGGUCCGUAGGUGGUUUGCUAAGUCAGAGGUGAAAUCCUGCCGCUUAACGGUAGAACUGCCUUUGAUACUGGCAAACUUGAGUUAUUGUGAAGUAGUUAGAAUGUGUAGUGUAGCGGUGAAAUGCAUAGAUAUUACACAGAAUACCGAUUGCGAAGGCAGAGUACUAACAAUAUACUGACACUGAGGGACGAAAGCGUGGGUAGCGAACAGGAUUAGAUACCCUGGUAGUCCACGCCGUAAACGAUGGUCACUAGCUGUUUGACUAACAAUGGUUAGUUGAGUGGCUAAGCGAAAGUGAUAAGUGACCCACCUGGGGAGUA
RNAcentral lists this ribosomal RNA (833 nucleotides) under uncultured bacterium. RNAcentral describes it as "bacterial SSU rRNA". It matches the Rfam family "Bacterial small subunit ribosomal RNA", at positions 59 to 882 of the family's 1533-position model. The record is from RNAcentral.